RNAcentral lists this long non-coding RNA (307 nucleotides) under Capsicum annuum. RNAcentral describes it as "long non-coding RNA (CANN_LNC021667)". The record is from RNAcentral. Lineage: Eukaryota; Viridiplantae; Streptophyta; Magnoliopsida; Solanales; Solanaceae.
UUGAGUGUCAUAGCCUAUUUCUACUGACCAUCGAUGGAUCCAAGGGAUAGAGAAUUCUAUGUAGAAAUACAUCUGAUCAAUAGUAUCGAUCUUACAAAUAUGAUCUGAAAGAUAUAAUUCUGUUAAGAAAGGGGAGGAUUUUUUCCAUGAAUAGUACAGAGAAGAAUAUUCUGGAGGUAAUAUUUUGACUGUAGGUCCAUGUUGAGUCCACCAUUGAAUAAACCAAUUUGGAAUAGGCUUUUCAAAUACUUUAGCACAAAUUUUUAUAAACCAAGUGUGUUUGUGCUUAUAAUUAUUAUAAUAUAAU